AUCCAACUGACGAGUCCAAAAUAUGACGAAACGAGCAUCAUGCAU
Molecule: non-coding RNA, 45 nt
Filed under: Schistosoma mansoni
Lineage: Eukaryota; Metazoa; Platyhelminthes; Trematoda; Strigeidida; Schistosomatidae
Source: RNAcentral